Molecule: long non-coding RNA, 210 nt
Organism: Sinocyclocheilus anshuiensis
Lineage: Eukaryota; Metazoa; Chordata; Actinopteri; Cypriniformes; Cyprinidae
Exons: 2
Source: RefSeq, a predicted model, not a curated record
UCCUGCCACUAGGGCGGCGGGGAAGUCUGGGCCGGCCUGUUGGCGUUGCGGGGACCCCGGACAUUUCAUUGACCGGUGCCCGGUGAUGGAGGUCGGGGCACUGAUCCGGGUCCCGGACGACCCACAGGCUGCCCCCGAUCAAGCUGGCCGGUACCAAAUACCUUGAUUGGCCUGGAGAGACCGUAAAAGGCCUCAGGGGAAACAGAGAGA